GAUGAACGCUGGCGGCGUGCCUAAUACAUGCCAGUCGAGCGAACGGACGAGAAGCUUGCUUCUCUGAUGUUAGCGGCGGACGGGUGAGUAACACGUGGAUAACCUACCUAUAAGACUGGGAUAACUUCGGGAAACCGGAGCUAAUACCGGAUGAUAUUUUGAACCGCAUGGUUCAAAAGUGAAAGACGGUCUUGCUGUCACUUAUAGAUGGAUCCGCGCUGCAUUAGCUAGUUGGUAAGGUAACGGCUUACCAAGGCAACGAUGCAUAGCCGACCUGAGAGUGUGAUCGGCCACACUGGAACUGAGACACGGUCCAGACUCCUACGGGAGGCAGCAGUAGGGAAUCUUCCGCAAUGGGCGAAAGCCUGACGGAGCAACGCCGCGUGAGUGAUGAAGGUCUUCGGAUCGUAAAACUCUGUUAUUAGGGAAGAACAUAUGUGUAAGUAACUGUGCACAUCUUGACGGUACCUAAUCAGAAAGCCACGGCUAACUACGUG
RNAcentral lists this ribosomal RNA (497 nucleotides) under uncultured bacterium. Its description in RNAcentral is "partial 16S ribosomal RNA". It matches the Rfam family "Bacterial small subunit ribosomal RNA", at positions 28 to 507 of the family's 1533-position model. The record is from RNAcentral.